UUAGUUAAGAAUUGUUUAUCAAGGAUUUGACCCAGAGAAGUGACGGUUGCUGUGAGUUACGGAUAAUCUGAUAAGCAUGCUGCUUAAUGUGAUUUUAUCUGAUAUAAGUAAUUAAGAAUGACAAGCUCAUUGAAUAGAGGUGGUACCGCGGUUUUCGCCCUCUGU
RNAcentral lists this unclassified non-coding RNA (165 nucleotides) under Streptococcus equi subsp. zooepidemicus. The record is from RNAcentral. Lineage: Bacteria; Bacillati; Bacillota; Bacilli; Lactobacillales; Streptococcaceae.